GCACCAUUACCGGCUCUGAAGGAAACCCUUUCAUAAAAAUACUUAUUCUGUUCUAUGGCCUUCUGUGCUUCUCUCUGCUCUUGGUUGCUUUGCCAUGGCUCCUCUUUUCUUCUCCCCUUUCUUGUUUUCGAUCUCCAUUCUUACUCAAUCUGUGAAUAAUAUCUAUCAUCAACAACAGUUGCUCUUGCAAUUCCAAGCUGCUAUUACUAAUAACAACAUUUUGCUGCCCGACUGGAAUCCCCUUAACCUCCUCUGCAAUUGGACCGGCCUUACUUGCGAUCCCUCUUCUCUCUCUCCUCGCCCUUAAUUAAUCCCAAAUGGGUUUAGACGGCACCAUUUCUCCGCUACCCGGGAAUCUUUCCUCUCUUCAGACCCUCGAUCUCUCUUACAAUGUCCUCACAUGUAUCAUUCCACCUCACCUCAAUCAGCUAUCCGGUCUGCAAACACUCAGGCUUAGCCGCAAUCAAUUACAAGGUAUGAUUCCUCCCACUCUCUGUUCUUGGCGCACUUUGUUUCGCUUGUCCGUCUUCUUUAACCAACUGCCUGGUAGCAUUCCGCUCGACCUGAGUCUCCUCGCAAGUUUGAAGUUCCUUUAUUUGGGAGCAAACAAUCUCACAGGUACCAUUCCCCUUCCUUUCAAAAAUCUGUGCGCUUUAGUUGGAUUGUAUUUGGAAGAUAGUGAUCUCACAGGUACCAUUCCCCCUGAAUUGGGCGUGCUCACUCACCUCCAAUUUCUUUUCCUUCAAGUCAUAAGUAUCUCUGGAAAUCGACUUACUGGGGUGUUUCCAAAUUCUCUAGGAGAUUGCACAGCUUUAGAGCAUCUAAAUCUGUCUCAUAAUGCCUUUGAAUGUCCAAUACCAGAUUCACUUUCCAAAUUAAAAAAUCUACAUGAAAUGGAUCUUUCUUUCAAUAAUUUGUCAGGAGAGAUUCCAGAACGAGGGUUGUUUGCAAAUAGAACUGUUUUAUCAUUGUUUAUGGGAAACCUUGGCCUAUGUAGUUCAACAAAUUAUUCUUUGCCUCCAUGCCCAAAUCAGACCCAAGAAAAACAUUCAAUCCUCAAAAAAUAGUCUUAUCGGUUGUCGGAACCAUUGCAUUUAUUCUAUGCACCUUCAUUAUAGUAGUGGUAUGGAGACAUAAACUUUCAAGACAACCAUUCCAUCCAUCAAACAUUACUUUUCAAAGGCUUGGCUAUCAAAAAUUUUCUUAUCAAGAUCUUGUCAUUGCAACAUCUAGAUUUGAUGAGUCAAACUUUCUUGGAGGGGGGUAAUUUUGGAUCAGUCUACAAAGGCAUUUUGAGGGAUGGUAAGAUGGGUGCCAUCAAGACUCUUAAUUUGCAGAAUGAAGAAGCUUAUAAAAGCUUCAACACAGAAUGCAAAGUCUUAGGGAAAAUUCGGCACUGUAACCUCAUCAGAAUCAUAAGUGCAUUUUGCUUCACUGGUUUUAAAAGUUUGGUUCUUCAAUUUGCAUCUAAUGAGAGCUUGGAAAAGUAUUUGUACCCUGAAAUUGAUGAUCAAGAUGUUUGUCAAUUGGGAUCGAGUGAGUGUUUGAGCAUUUCUAUAGAUGUAGCCCAUGUCAUGGAAUAUUUACAGGUACCAUUCCCCCUGAAUUGGGCGUGCUCACUAACCUCCAAUUUCUUUACCUUCAAGCUGUAGACAUCUCUGGAAAUCGACUAACUGGGGCGAUUCCAAAUUCUCUAGGAGAUUGCACAGCAGCGUUAGAGCAUCUAAAUCUGUCUCACAAUGCCUUUGAAGGUCCAAUACCAGAUUCACUUUCCAAAUUAUAAAAUGCACAUGAAACGGAUCUUUCUUUCAAUAAUUUGUCAGGGCAGAUUCCAGGAGGGUUGUUUGCAAAUAGAACUUUUAUAACAUUGUUUAUGUGAAACCUUGACCUAUGUGGUCCAACAAAUUAUUCUCUGCUUCCAUGCUCAAAUCAGACCCAAGAAAAACAUUCACUGCUCAAAAAAGUUGUCUUAUCGGUCAUUGGAACCAUUGUAUUUAUUCUAUGCACCUUCAUUAUAGGAAUGGUAUGGAACAAGGCAACCAGUCCAUCCAUCAAACAUUUCUUUUCAAAGGCUUGGCCAUCCAAAAUUCUCUUAUCAAUAUCUUGUCAUUGCAACAUCUGGAUUUGAUGAGUCAAACUUUCUUGGAGUGGGUAACUAUGGAUCAGCCUACAAAGGCAUUUUGAGGGAUGGUAAGAUGGUUGCCAUCAAGAAUCUUAAUUUGCAGAAUGAAGAAGCUCAUAAAAGCUUUAAUGCAGAAUGCAAAGUGUUAGUGAGGAUUUGGCACCGUAACCUCAUCAGAAUCAUUAGUGCAUUUUUCUUCACUGGUUUCAAAGGUUUGGUUCUUCAAUUUGCAUCUAAUGGGAGCUUGGAAAAGCAUUUGUACCUUAAACAGAUGAUCAAGAUGUUUGUCAAUUGGGAUUGAUUGAGUGUUUGGCAUGGAAUAAUUACAUCAUCAUUGUCCUAUGCAACUUGUGCACUGUGAUUUAAAAUCUAGCAAUGUACUCUUGGAUGCCAACAUGACAGCCCUUGUGAAACUCCAUAGAUUCACAGAGGACAACCUUUGCAUUCAAAGGAUCUACAGGCUAUAUUUCUCCAGAGUAUGGACUUGGCGGGAAUGUUUCUAUAGAGGGAGAUGUCUAUAGUUAUGGAAUUCUGACAUUAGAGAUGGUUACAAGAAAGAGGCCAAGUGAUGACAUGUAUGUGGGAGACAUGAACUUGCAAAAGUGGGUGAAAUCAGCUUUUCCAAACAGACUGGCAGAUAUUGUUGAUGGUGGCCUAUUUAGUGAUGUGAAUGAAAACAUGGAAGACAAUAGAUGUCUUCUUUCUUUUAUUUAUGUUGGUUUGCUUUGUACCAGUGAAUCAACGAGAGAAUGACUUUCCAUGAGAGAUGUAGUCAAGCUCUUGGAGAGCCUCAAGACAUCUUUCAUGGGAGGUGCAGCUGCUUCCAAUUUAACAUAUACCAUAUGAGACCUCCUACACAAUGUCAAUCCCACAGAAACAUUGACCUCUUACAGUCAAAGUUCUACAUUUUAGAUGUCUAUAUGUUCCAUUAAUCUAUUUGUUUGUAUUUCGUGUUUGCUAGUGUCAAGUUUGUCUUCCAUCACAGGUUAGUCUUCUUUCAUGUAAAAUUCUCCUUGGGCUAAAUUAUAGCUGUUUGAGUUUGUAAGCUGAUCCAAGUAAUGUGUUUGAGUUUAUGUAUUGUGGUUUAUAUACACUUUAUUAGAAUGAUGUGAAUUGUGUAAUAUUAUUGAUAGUGUGUAUUGUUGUUUAUAAACACUUAAUUGGAAUGAUGCAAACUGUGUAAUAAAUUGUCUUAUUUAUGGCAAAACCUCUCAUGCUAGGCGGAAGUUCAAGAAUUUGUUUUCCUUUUCUGCGUUGAUAUUCAUUAUCUCUGAACUCAAAAACAUGAGAGGGAGGGUAAAGCAUGAAUGAGAAUUUAAACGUCAUUGAUUUUUGAAGUUGUCUGAAUAAUUUUGUAACGGUUAAAUAAACAAUGGAUCAUGGAACUGCUUGCAUGAAUCACUCAAAUUUAAUAUAAUAAAAUAUACCCUUUAAUUGAGCAUUCAAAAUCUGACAAAAUUGUUAGAAUAGAUAAAUUGAAUCUAUGAUGUAUUUGCCUAUGAAUUUAAUAUGUGAUAACAGAUUUCUAAGCGUUCCAAAUCUGCUCUGUUUUUUUUUAUGGAGGAUUUUUCAUCCACAAAGUCGUUUUAGCUAUUCGAUACAUGAGUACAAGCCUUAGGCUGAACCUCUUUGGCUAAGAGCCAAGGACUGACAGGUAUCCAUUCCGCAAUUUCGCCCUGGGCACAAUCCCGGCCUCAUCCCUUUUUGAUGUCGGAGCCUUGGACUCAGCAAGACUUGUUUCCUGGUAGACUCAUUAAGAACCUUUCAACUUCACCAACAGAACAAAGGCUCAUUGACAAAUCUGCUCCGUUUUGUUUCUCUUUUUCUUUUCAUGGUAUUGGAACUUGUGAGGGAUCAUUAAAAUAAUUAGCAUAAUUAAUAUAUGGGGCGAUGUUAGAAUAGAUAAAUUAAUUAUCCACGCAAGUCUGUCAGCACAGACCAGCCACCUAGUGCUGCCUGCAUGCCACUUUCACCAAUCCAUAAUAAAUCCCUGAGCUAACUCUAUGCUACAGUAUACAUAGUGAUAAACAGAUUUCUAGGCGCUUGAAAUUUGCUCUGUUUUGUUUCUCUCUGUGUUUCUCUUUUUCUGUCUUACAUUAUAUCAAUUGCAUCAUGAAGGAGAGAGGCAGACGAGAAAAAAAGAUAAAAGCGAGAUGAACAGAAAAUGUUAUAUAUUUCAAAACAUACAAAGUCUGAUCAAGUAACACAGAUACAGAGUUGCUGUCAUGCAUUCAGAAAAUUGAAACAGAGUCACCUGUAUGCAAUCAAUUUACAUUAGAAACUGUCCUGGAUGCAGCGAAUGAAGAUAUAGAAAGAAAUGGAUUGAGCUGGAGAUAAAAAGUUUCACACGUUUGAACAGUCAGUGAAGACAUGGCGACAGCUGAGAGAGGGAGGCCAACUGUCUUAAUAUUUAGGUGGAGAGUAUUGAGGAAGUGCCAAAAGUCUUGAGUGGAUUAGACACGACCUAAUCUAAUGAACAGGGGACUUUCUCAAAUUUCUCUCUUGUUAGAAGGAUGAUCCCAUGGAAUAUUUCAUCAGCUCAGGAACAUUUUUUAUAACUAAAACAUAUGAUCCCGCCAGACAUUAUAACUUUUGCUAUAUAUUAAUAUGUUCAAGAAAGUACUAGGGUUACAUGUUGAUCAGGCCACUGAAAAUUCAAUUACAGGACUCUCUGUACCUUAGAAUUUGGCCUUUGGAAGCAAAUGGGGAGUAGAUUGAAUGAUAGGAUCCUUGUCUCUCAACAUCAGAAUAUUGCUACAGGCCUUCCCAAAAUAUAGAGGUGAAUUUAAAGUUUAAUCCCCAGUAUUGAAUUGUCUUUUUAAGGGCACUGCUAAUCACACGUCACC
This is a long non-coding RNA of Cryptomeria japonica (Japanese cedar), 4968 nucleotides long. RefSeq lists it as uncharacterized. The transcript has 3 exons. Lineage: Eukaryota; Viridiplantae; Streptophyta; Pinopsida; Cupressales; Cupressaceae. The record is from RefSeq and is a predicted model, not a curated record.